Molecule: ribosomal RNA, 253 nt
Filed under: uncultured bacterium
Lineage: Bacteria
Description: partial 16S ribosomal RNA
Rfam family: Bacterial small subunit ribosomal RNA
Source: RNAcentral
UACGGAGGGUGCGAGCGUUAAUCGGAAUUACUGGGCGUAAAGCGCGCGUAGGCGGUUGACUAAGUCUGCUGUGAAAGCCCUGGGCUUAACCUGGGAACGGCAGUGGAUACUGGUCGGCUAGAGUAUGGUAGAGGAGAGUGGAAUUUCCGGUGUAGCAGUGAAAUGCGUAGAGAUCGGAAGGAACACCAGUGGCGAAGGCGGCUCUCUGGACCAAUACUGACGCUGAGGUGCGAAAGCGUGGGGAGCAAACAGG